This 650-nucleotide ribosomal RNA is filed under the name uncultured marine bacterium. Its description in RNAcentral is "bacterial SSU rRNA". It matches the Rfam family "Bacterial small subunit ribosomal RNA", at positions 96 to 781 of the family's 1533-position model. The record is from RNAcentral.
UGGCAAACGGGUGAGUAAUAUGUGGGAAUCUGCCUUUUGGUUUGGAAUAACACGGGGAAACUUGUGCUAAUACCGAAUAAGCCCUUACGGGGAAAGUUUUAAUGCCGAAAGAUGAGCCCGCACUUGAUUAGCUAGUUGGUAAGGUAAAAGCUUACCAAGGCAACGAUCAAUAGCUGUUCUUAGAGGAAGACCAGCCACAUUGGGACUGAGACACGGCCCAGACUCCUACGGGAGGCAGCAGUGGGGAAUCUUGCACAAUGGGGGAAACCCUGAUGCAGCGAUGCCGCGUGAGUGAAGAAGGCCUUUGGGUUGUAAAACUCUUUCGUCGGGGAAGAAAAUGACUGUACCCGAAUAAGAAGGUCCGGCUAACUUCGUGCCAGCAGCCGCGGUAAUACGAAGGGACCUAGCGUAGUUCGGAAUUACUGGGCUUAAAGAGCUCGUAGGUGGUUAAAAAAGUUGAUGGUGAAAUCCCAAGGCUUAACCUUGGAACUGCCAUCAAAACUUUUUAGCUAGAGUGUGAUAGAGGUAAGUGGAAUUUCUAGUGUAGAGGUGAAAUUCGUAGAUAUUAGAAAGAACAUCAAAUGCGAAGGCAACUUACUGGGUCACUACUGACACUGAGGAGCGAAAGCAUGGGUAGCGAAGAGGAUUAG